This is a non-coding RNA of Rattus norvegicus (Norway rat), 3817 nucleotides long. Lineage: Eukaryota; Metazoa; Chordata; Mammalia; Rodentia; Muridae. The record is from RefSeq and is a predicted model, not a curated record.
AAAAGGUUUAUUCAGCUUACACUUCCACAUUGCUGCUCAUCAUGGAAGGAAGUCAGGACUGGAACUCAAACAGGGGAGGAACCUGGAGGCAGAAGCUAAUGUAGAGGCCGUGGAGGGAUGUUACUUACUGGCUUGUUUCCCCUGCUUUGCUCAGCUUGCUCUCUUAUAGAAUCUAGGGCCACCAGCCCAGGGACUGCUCACUGAUCACUCGUUGAGAAAAUGCCUCACAGCUGGGUCUCAUGGAGGCAUUUCCUCAACUGAGGCUCCUUUCUCUGUGCUAACUCUGGCUUGUGUCAAGUUGACACACAAAACCAGCCAGUAGGCAGGGACAUCUCUGCAUAUAGCCCUGGGAUCUCCGGUGACAUUUUUGGACUGUGAAUUGGAAGUCUUAAUUCUUCCCUGACUGACUGGCUGGAGAAACAGCUCUACUCAGUAGGAGAUGAUUGCCGCCACGGUGGAUCGACUGUUUGAAGGGGUAAUAUAGCAUUGAUGAAGGUUAACCCAGCAUACAUUGAUGCUCUGUGUGGUUUGCUCAGCUUGCUUUUUUAUAGAACCCAAAACUACCAGCCCAGGGACGUUACCUCCCACUGUGGGCUGGACCCUCCCCUAAUGAUAACUAAUUAAGAAAUUAAAUGCCUUGCAGCUGGAUCUCAUGGAGGCGUUUUCUCAGGUCAAAUUGACAUAAAACUAUCCAGCGCAACACUAAUAUAUUAAAUUUAUCUAGCAUUGCAUUUAUUGUUAAUUAUGGGAGCAAAUUACCUGAGGGAAUCCACCUCAAACAUUCCAUGUGCAAAAAUGAAUAGGAAAUCAUUCGAUAAGGUAUAUUAAAAAUACACAUUUCCACAGGCUGUUCACAGUUUUCAAUCAGCACAGCCUUCCUCUGUCACCCUGGUCCUCAAGCAGUGCGCCCACAGCUGAGUUUCACCCUGACGCUGUGUUAGCUCUCAAUCAGAAGCGCCAGGUUUUCUGUGCCAGAAAAACUUGGCCUUCCUAUGGGCACAGAACAGUAAUCAGAUGCCUGCUGCGACCGCCUCUAAUUCCAAAAUCUAUUAGAGUAGAAUUUACAUUUUGUUUUCAUCUCUUCCCCACUUGGACUAGAUGCAAAAUGGAAAUGACUGGAAAACAGCCCUUGAGAGGCGGAGCAGCAGGAAGCCUCCUCCAUGCGGGCUGUGAUUUCCCUGGUGCACAGGGGUGGGCUCACCCCGUUGCCUCUUGGAAAUGGCCAUUUUCGUUCAGGUAAGUAAAGAAUAAACUAAAGAUGUUGGAACAGAGUUCUUAGCAACAUGGAAGCCAGAGACAAAAAAGCACGCCCUGAGUGGCAGCGACCGGAAGUGGUUCUGCCUCAGCUAGUGAGGACUUCCAUGAGGGAACCUGAGGAUUUCUUGUCUGCUGCUCUUUGAUGCAUGAUGCAUGGGGACUUGCCUUUUGCCACAGUCUCUGGAUCUCCCGUGGGGAUACAUUCCUUGGUGCACAGUCCGAGCUGUACGAGGUUCCUCCCUCACACACUUUUUUUUUCUAGAUUAGAGAAGUGGAGCCAAACUUCCCCCAUGAAAAUCGCAAGCGAAUAAUAAGCUUUGACAGUAACUGCUGGCGUGUCGUUCUGAAGAAAAACAGGCAACACGAUGUUUGCUACUGUGGAAAACGAAUCUCUGAACGCCUGGUCUUGACGCAAAGCCCUACAACAGAAGAUAUGGAACCCUCCGGAACACGCGCUCCAGAAAACCUCUGGCACGGGCUCUGGAAACCCCUACAGGCUUGACUGACUGAUGUAAAGUUAAAAGUAGGAGAAAGAAAAUCACCAAGGUUUCUGCGGCUGGCUCUCUCUCCAGUCCCCGCCCAUCUCUACCACUUGUACCCUCACCACCGCAAAAAGUGUGUCUCUUAUGACCAGGAGGCAGUCAUGUCACACUGGGGUGUAUGCGCAGGGCAAGAGGCACACGUACCUGGCAUCAUUUCUGAGUAACUCCUGUAUUCUGCCCCUCACAUCCUGGUCAUGCUCCUUUAGGCCCUAUAUUCUGUCACAAUAGUGUUCUGGCCAUGGCUGGCCUGGCCGCGGCUACAUCCCUGUUAGGAAAGUAGCCAACAUCCUUGUUACCCAGCUAAGCAAGCAUAGUUGCGUUCACAUUUUGUGGUCCUAGAAAUCUUCAUUCUUAUAUACCCUCCAUGCUCUGGACUCCUUUGAAGUGUGCGUGUGCAAAGGGGCAUUCUCUGUGAGAUAACGAAUCUAGGCGGAAGGUUUUGUUGAGGGAAGGCUAAAAGAAAGCUGUUGCUGGAGUUACAGCAUCAAAGCCUGAGCCCUGACAGCCAGAGAUCUCCGUGACUUACAGAUGACCGCCCUCAGCUCUGCAGCUGAGACUGUUUGAGUGAAGAGGGACCAGAACCCAGAGCCGAGCGUGGCUGGCUGGGCUGCACAUCCAGAUGGCCUGUCUUAGUUAAGACUCUGAUGGAGUCUGCACUCCAUCUGCCUUUUGAAUUAAAUCGCAAGCUCCAGUCUCCCCAAUAGGGGAACAGCUUGUGUUGGCAAACCCUUCUGUGGACAACAAUGAUAAACACCGGAUUAAAAAGAAAACGGCCGUAGAAGACAUCGGAGGACACUGGGAGGCUAGGAGGGUGGUCCCAGAGAGGCCAUGAGCAAAGAGGACCCUGCCGGUCUAAGACACCUGCUCAUCCACCUUCCAUGAAUACCUAUGCUCGCCAACUGAUGGAUCCAAACCAUAAAGAUACACUCGAAGGACUCGAAUAAACCUGAGAAAGGACAAAGUAGAAAGGGGAGGCCUAGAUCCUGGGCUGACCCCUGAACUGUGUGCUUCUGAACAAGACACAACUAGGUGAGAAUAUAUGCAGUACCCAGGGUGAGUCUAAGGGCCAUCUUCCAAGUGGGUUGGUCAACGUCUGUCACUGCAGCAAAACACCUGAGCUGAUCACUUUACAAAGAGAAAUGGCUUGUCUGGGCCACAGCUUGGGAGGUUCUAGUCCUGGGUCAGUUGACCCUGUUGCUUUUGGGUCUAUGACAAGGCAGCAUAUCAUGGUUGGAGCAUGUGGUAUAACCCAUGGCAAACCCUGCAGUCCCCUUCCUUCUGGGCAGCAGUGGAAGGACAAAGACCUUCACCUCUCCAAUAACCUACAGACCUCUCAUGAGGCCACUCCUCUUAAAGAUGUCACCAGCUCCCAACACUGCUGCCCCAUCAGAUCAAGAUGACAGCAGAGUAGACACAACUCAAGGUUGGAUGGACAAGGACCCAAACAAGUUGUGUCUGUCACUAGAUCUUCUGGAGCCUGCGGGAGGGCAACAGACCAGGUCCAUCAGAGAAUCUGUCAGCACCUUAGCUUUUUUUUAGCUUAAAUCAGUAGGGAAACUACCCAGGAGAGAAUAAAAUUCUAAACCAGAGAAGACCAACCGUCCUUGAACAAGUAGGGUGAGUUGGGAAGGUAAGAGCUAUAGUAGUGAAUCUUCAGAAACAUGGGCUUGUGUCUCCAGACACCUAAGAAUCAGCAUGUGACCCACAAGAAGAGCCAUGACUUUGAGGAGCCUCAUCCAAACCACUGUCACCAACCAAGUCAGGUCUGAUCGGUGCUUGGUAGAUAUCCAAUGCCGUCUGCCAAGGGGCACUCUCAUUUAAACGUCUCUCUGAAUAAACAAAGCACAUUUCGGGUUGGAAAUCUCUGCUCGCUCAUUAAGGAGCUCCUGACACAGUCCAAGCACUAUGCUCUCCACAGACUCUGAAAGUGUUUGUUCUCUGUAAAUGCAGAUAGUUCAGUUUUAAGUAUUUGUCUCCUGUAGUAAAGUAAAAAAAAAAAAAAUAAAGUCUAGACUUUC